Non-coding RNA from Pelobates cultripes (western spadefoot toad), 805 nucleotides. The record is from the annotation of a GenBank genome assembly. Lineage: Eukaryota; Metazoa; Chordata; Amphibia; Anura; Pelobatidae.
AUCUGUUUUAUCUUUACAUAUCACUGGAUCCAUUUGAGGAAAGAAAGCGAGUACACUGUUCCGGAUCCUCCAUUGUAUUACUACUGUAUUUAAGGAAGACCUAUUCAGCUAAGACUCAUUUUAUUUCUAUUGGAUUUACUCUUUUAUAUUGGACUUAUUUUACUUGUUGUCUCAUUUUAUCCAUUGGUUUUUAUCUGGCGCAACUUUUUUUUACCUUUUUCUUCUUCCAUUUUAUUCUAAGGGUGUGAGGGAUUCCCUUUUAAAGUUGCUGCCUCAUCCUGUUAUUAAGCGCUAACUCUUUUUUCCUCUUUUGCAUGUCAAAAAGAGUUAUACAUUGAUUUGCAUGUCAAUGAGUGAAUUAAGUAUUUGAUCCCCUCUCAACCAGCAAAAUUUCUGGCUCCCAGGUGUCUUUUAUACAGGUAACUAGCGGAGAUGAGAAGCACUCUCUUAAAUGCAGUGCUCCAAAUCUCAGUUCAUUACCUGUAUAAAAGAAACCUGUUCACAGAAUCAAUCAGAUUCCAAACUCUCCACCAUGGCCAAGACCAAAAAGAGCUGUCCAAGGAUGUCAGGGAUAAGAUUGUAUACCUACACAAGGCUGGAAUGGGCUACAAGACCAUCACCAAACAGCUUGGUGAGAAGGUGACAGUUUGUGCAAUUAUUCGCAAAUGGAAGAAACACAAAAUAAGUCUUCCUCGGUCUGGUGCUCCAUGCAAGAUAUCACCUAGUGGAGCUUCAACGAUCAUGAGAAUGGUGAGGAAUCAGCCCAAAACUACACAGGAGCAUCUUGUUAAUGAUCAAGGCCUAG